CUAGAGAUAGAAAGUUACUUCGGUACAUCGGUGACAGGUGGUGCAUGGUUGUCGUCAGCUCGUGUCGUGAGAUGUUGGGUUAAGUCCCGCAACGAGCGCAACCCCUAUUGUUAGUUGCCAUCAUUCAGUUGGGCACUCUAGCGAGACUGCCGGUAAUAAACCGGAGGAAGGUGGGGAUGACGUCAAAUCAUCAUGCCCCUUAUGCCCAGGGCUACACACGUGCUACAAUGGGCGGUACAAAGAGAAGCAACCUCGCGAGGGUGAGCAAAUCUCAAAAAGCCGUUCUCAGUUCGGAUUGAAGUCUGCAACUCGACUUCAUGAAGUCGGAAUCGCUAGUAAUCGCGGAUCAGCAUGGCGCGGUGAAUACGUUCCCGGGCCUU
Molecule: ribosomal RNA, 380 nt
Filed under: uncultured Streptococcus sp.
Lineage: Bacteria; Bacillati; Bacillota; Bacilli; Lactobacillales; Streptococcaceae
Description: bacterial SSU rRNA
Rfam family: Bacterial small subunit ribosomal RNA
Source: RNAcentral